UUGGGCUAUCGCCAAGCGGUAAGGCACAAGGUUUUGAUCCUUGCAGUCGCUGGUUCGAAUCCAGCUAGCCCAGU
Molecule: transfer RNA, 74 nt
Filed under: Lachnospiraceae bacterium
Lineage: Bacteria; Bacillati; Bacillota; Clostridia; Lachnospirales; Lachnospiraceae
Description: tRNA-Gln
Rfam family: tRNA
About the family: Transfer RNA (tRNA) molecules are approximately 80 nucleotides in length.
Source: RNAcentral